Molecule: ribosomal RNA, 1241 nt
Filed under: metagenome
Description: bacterial LSU rRNA
Rfam family: Bacterial large subunit ribosomal RNA
Source: RNAcentral
UGAAUACGAGAUGCUACGGCGUCGAAGCAGUCUAUGUCAUACUUCCAAGAAAAGCUCGCACUGUCAUAAACAAAUAAUGCCUGUACCAUAACCGACACAGGUGGGUAGGUAGAGUAUACUAAGGGGCGCGAGAUAACUCUCUCUAAGGAACUCGGCAAAAUGACUCCGUAACUUCGGGAGAAGGAGUGCCUUAUUUAUAAGGUUGCAAUAACAAGAUCCAAGCAACUGUUUAUCAAAAACACAGGUCUCCGCUAAGUCGUAAGACGAUGUAUGGGGGCUGACGCCUGCCCAGUGCCAGAAGGUUAAAGAAGUUGGUUAGCAUUCGCGAAGCUGAUAACUGAAGCCCUGGUGAACGGCGGCCGUAACAAUAACGGUCCUAAGGUAGCGAAAUUCCUUGUCGGGUAAGUUCCGACCCGCACGAAAGGCGUAAUGAUUUGGAUACUGUCUCGGAGAGGGGCUCGGUGAAAUAGACUUGUCUGUGAAGAUGCGGACUACCUGCACCAGGACAGAAAGACCCUAUGAAGCUUUACUGUAACUUGAGAUUGAAAUUGGACUUUACUUGCGCAGUAUAGGUGGGAGGCGUUGAUAAUAUUCUUGCGGGAUUAUUUGAGCCAUCAGUGAGAUACCACUCUUGUAAUGUUAGAUUUCUAACUUUGUAUCAUUAUCUGGUCAAAGGACAGUUUCAGGCGGGCAGUUUGACUGGGGCGGUCGCCUCCUAAACGGUAACGGAGGCGCACAAAGGUUUCCUCUGAACGGGUAGAAAUCGUAUCUAGAGUGUAAAGGCAUAAGGAAGCUUGACUGUGAGACCUACAAGUCGAGCAGGGACGAAAGUCGGUCUUAGUGAUCUGGCGGUGCUGAGUGGAAAGGCCGUCGUUCAACGGAUAAAAGUUACUCUAGGAUAACAGGCUGAUCUCCCCCAAGAGUUCACAUCGACGGGGAGGUUUGGCACCUCGAUGUCGGCUCAUCGCAUCCUGGGGCGGUAGUACGUCCCAAGGGUUGGGCUGUUCGCCCAUGAAAGCGGUACGCGAGCUGGGUUCAGAACGUCGUGAGACAGUUCGGUCCAUAUCCGGUGUAGGCGUUAGAAUAUUGAGAGGAGCCUUCUUUAGUACGAGAGGACCGAGAAGGACAUACCUCUGGUGUACCAGUUAUCGUGCCAACGGUAAACGCUGUGUAGCUAUGUAUGGAGUGGAUAACCGCUGAAAGCAUCUAAGUGGGAAGCCCACCUCAAGAUAAGUAUUCGC